AGAGUUGAACGUCCUGCACUAAGGUCAUUGCAUGCCCUGACAAACCAAAAAGAUAUACCAGAUCUCUGAAGCCUGGAACCCCAGUAGUGCUCAUCUGUGCUGUGGCAGUUUCCCAAACACUAGUACACGACUGCAGGUUAGUGUACUAGCUCCCUGUUUGUUCUUUUCUUGGAUUCAGGUCAAUUUAUCUCUGAUUUGGUUUCCAAAUAGAC
Molecule: long non-coding RNA, 212 nt
Filed under: Anas platyrhynchos platyrhynchos (common mallard)
Lineage: Eukaryota; Metazoa; Chordata; Aves; Anseriformes; Anatidae
Description: lncRNA (ENSAPLG00000023779.1)
Source: RNAcentral